AUUCAUGUGAUUAUGGUAGCUCAGUCAAAAUUUAUGUGAUGAAUAGUAAGACAAGAGUUUUGUUUUAUGAUGCGUAUGAAUUGUGGAGAAGAGUUAGGGUUAGAGGAGAUGAUGUGCUUUUGACAGUUUAGGGUAGAAGAUGUUGAAAAUAAUACUUUUAGCACGAUUUUUUUUAUUAAUAUAUGUCUGUUUUGGUCAUUUAGCUUUACUUAUAAAAUCUCAAUAGAAACAUAAAAUAAUAAGAGUGUGUAUUAAGAGAUUAAGGGUGUGUAUUUAAAGUUUCUCGUCGAUGGGAAGGUGAUGAAUGUUUUUGGAAGUUGUUGGGUGUCAAGCAACUCAAAUGUUCUACGUUCUUCCUCUUCUUCUUUUUUAAAAAUUUCUUUUUAUUGUGUAUGAUCUGAUUUUGAUUUUUGAAAAGUUAGAAUUGGAUUUGGUUUUCUUUUUAAUAAAGAAAAGUAAAAUCUAAUUUGUUAUGAAAAUAGAAAACACCAUGUUACCUGCCACAUCACAUUUUUUUUUUGACAUCAUAUUAUCAAGUGAUCUAGACCGUUGAAAAUUUUAAAAUCUGAUAGCCAUGAAAAAGUGUAAAAAAAUAUGUAAAAAACAAUGGCUCUUGAACCGGACCCAAAUUGAUAAUAGGUAGAUUAAUUAUAUAUAUGAAGAGUUGUUGGUUUAUUGCAUACUAUAGAUUUGAAUGUUUCUUAUCAUUAUUUUGAUAUGAUUAUCGAUAAAAAUUUACAUACAUUUUAACUUUCAUCCAUGAAUUCAUAUAAUCGUUGCGUAAUAUUUUCCUUAAUUUUUAAGAAUUUAAAAAAAAAACCAAGAACUUAAAAGAACACAAUGUGCUGGUUUGGUACAUUCGGUAGAUGAAAGCUUCAACAACCACCCGAACUCAAGUAAACAAGAGACCAGAAAUUUAGUGGAG
RNAcentral lists this long non-coding RNA (925 nucleotides) under Fragaria vesca (wild strawberry). RNAcentral describes it as "long non-coding RNA (FVES_LNC003307)". The record is from RNAcentral. Lineage: Eukaryota; Viridiplantae; Streptophyta; Magnoliopsida; Rosales; Rosaceae.